RNAcentral lists this long non-coding RNA (310 nucleotides) under Setaria italica (foxtail millet). RNAcentral describes it as "long non-coding RNA (SITA_LNC004250)". The record is from RNAcentral. Lineage: Eukaryota; Viridiplantae; Streptophyta; Magnoliopsida; Poales; Poaceae.
CAUUGGCAAGGCCCUGCCUGCUGUCUACUUCCUCCCGAACGCCAACAUCGCGGUUGCAGGCUCCUUUGCUCGGCUCUUGUUCUACCCACUCUUCUAUGGCUGCCUGCACGGCCCCAGCUUCUUCCGCACCGAGAUCCCAGUCACCAUACUGACAUGCCUGCUGGGCCUCACCAACGGGUACCUGACUUGCAUCCUCAUGACGCUCGCGCCCAAGGCCGUGCCCAUCCACCACUCGGAGACCGCCGGGAUUGUGAUAGUGCUGUUCCUUGUGGUUGGUCUUGUCGUCGGUUCGUUUGUGUCUUGGUUCUGG